Molecule: long non-coding RNA, 9706 nt
Organism: Numida meleagris (helmeted guineafowl)
Lineage: Eukaryota; Metazoa; Chordata; Aves; Galliformes; Numididae
Exons: 3
Source: RefSeq, a predicted model, not a curated record
AGAAAAACAUCAAUGUAACUACCAGAAGACAUGGUUUCUUGACAACAUAUGCCGCAAAUUGAAGUGACUAGGCUUUUGGCCUUUGUAUGUUAAAUACUUACUCACUUUUUAAGACCAUGUACUAACUUACAUGCUGCCCUAAAGCAACAAUCUUACAAGACAUUGCACGUUAACUGGGGUUACAUUUUACAGGAGGUUAAUUUUAAAUUUAUUGACAUUUUUACUGUGCCUAUUUUUAUCAGCAAGAGAUUUAAAUACUUCUGGAUUUGUCAUGGCUGCCUGCCUAGCAUUUAUAUGCCUCAGAACUAAUGACUCACAUUUAUAAUUUUCUAGAUUUGUGUGUUUUAAUAGGCCAAAUUAAAAUAGGAAAUAAGGCUAAAGUCUAACAAUUAUUAACUCUCAUUAACUUCUAUACAUUCAUUAAAAAAGUACAAAAAAACCCCUUUGUGAUGCUUUCCUAACCACGAUAACAAAAUUAUCUAGAUAUAUGGGUAGACAGGGAGUAAUAUGAAGGCAUGAUCAAAAAUUUAACAUUUUGAGUAUGAAUUCAUUGUCAUUGUUAUUUGCUGCUGCAAACACCGACAAUUGGGAAGGAGUUCAGAAAGAACAGCAUCAGGCUAAUAAAUCUCAGUGAGGUCCCAGAACACACAAUCUCUAGAUUAUACUCUACAUCCACUUGGCUUUUACUGACUCAGACUUCAGACACAAACCCCUUUUUCAGAAUGAAUGACUGUGAAAUAAAAGUUACCAUUCUGAAUUUGUAUCAACAUAUGAACAUCUUCAGUCACUUCAAGUUAUGAUAAAUUAACUAACAAAAAAUAAAACAAGGGGGAAAGCUCCAAGGUUCUACUUCUAUGACCAACAAGAAUAAGGAAUCCUCUGCAGUUCUGUGUUAUGUACUUUUGGAGAGAUGAGUACCAGCAGGUUCUGCCUGGGCCAUGUGUGUCAACAGAUAAAGCCAGUCAAAAUAUUUCAAUCUGCACACACUCGCCUGACAAUACCUUGUAGAAGUAAGAUCCAACCUCCUAAAGAACGGUUUAAAAACUUUACUAAUCCAUCUUUACACUCCUGCUAUUAAAACUUUUCUACUCAUAGCUAUCACCUUUAAUAUGAAGAGGUAGUAAUUGAAAGAUUCUUAACUAUUAAAAGUAGCUGGAAUCAUCACUUUGCCACAAGAUUUGGCUGUUUGUGAAAGAGAUAACAAACAAACAAGUUAGAAAUGACAAACUGAGUGAGUCAUGCAAGGGGAAAAAUGAUGCAAAUUUAUAUUUAAACAGCACUUGUAAUUCCUGCAAGUACAUUUCUGUUAGUGCAGAUUAAAAUAAAUUAUUUAUUAUGCAUAUGUAGAGAGGCUAUUAAUAGUUGUACUGGGAGAUACACGACAUUGCUUCCAUAUAAAGGCAUAUAAAAAGAAUCAACAUUUUUUUCCUUAAGAAUAAUCAAUAGUGAUGAGCAAGCAACUAGUACAAAUGUUCACAGCCAGCACAAAGGAAACCAACAAUCACGUGCUGAGCAGUCCAUGUUGAGAAACAACCGAAACUGAAUAAAAAUUCAUAGCAACUGUAAGCCAUUUUGCUCGUGUUUAAGUAACGAGCAUACCCAAAUUAGAUUACUAUCUCUGAUCUCCCUGUUCGCCUUAACAGAUAAAACUUUAGGGAUUAGAACACUAUGAUUUAGCCUUUAAAAACGAAGAUCCAAACACUGUUUGUAAAUAAGUGUAAAAAGUGUAUUUUUAAGUCAUGAGAGCUUGUACUCACUCUGCAAGAAUUCUAGGAAUAAAUGUGUCAUCUCACCUCCUUCAAAGCACGAUAUUCCACUUUUUAAAGUUCACAGGAAGAAAGGUAAAUGUAAAAGAAAACAAUUUUUUUUUCCAUACUAGCAUCUAAAGUAUGCUACGAAUAUGCCAAGAAUGUAUACUUCUCAAACAGAACAAUGUAAUUAGAAUAUAAAUAAUUCAAAAAUAUUCUAGACUAGGGUUUCCUGAAGAGACUUCAGUUAGUUGUUUAUCUAUUUAGCAAUAAGAUAUUUUGUUACAGCCCAGGUUUUUCAUCCCUCCACUAACCCAACAUCUCACCUGCUCAAGGGUGUUAUGUUCUUCAAUGAACAGGUUUUUGGAGCCCUCUCAUGAUGAUUAGUGACUUGCAUUUCAGACUCCAGUAACUAAGGUCAAGUUCUCAGAGCAGUCUCAGCACAACCUCUGUCCCUAGAGUUGGAGUUUCAAGAUACAGUCCUUCUUUAAGCUGCUUCUAAGACAUCAACUGUGUGGAUGCUACCACUGGUAGCUGGUUACAUUGCCUAUGCAUUUCUAUGUUGUUACCAAAUAGCUAUUUUAUAAAUAAUUAAGUACUUAUACAUCCAUAAAUAUAAUAUUGCUUAUUUAUGUAGUAUACUUAUAUACAGACAAGACCACCAAAUGGCUACCAAUGCCUAAAGGUGCAGUGUUUCAUGCAAAGUUCACAAAGCCUGCUAUGCUAGAAGUGAGCAUAAACUCUUAAGAGCUACUACAAGAAAACCCCAAACAAACCCACAGGCAUUACUCUGUCUCUUGUCGUCCAGAGUUAAUGCUAUGUAUGAACAAAAAGCGUCAUGUCACCUGGCUAUCUACACCUCGCGUGGCACAAAAGUCACUGUGAAACAGUUUUCAAAGGAGGAAAGCAUGCACUCAGAGACACUGAAGACUGCUGUGAAAACAGAGCAGGAGGGUGUUCUGCAAGGGAAGCUGCUCUGCUCGUGCUCUGACACGUUUUGCUGCUGAAACGCAAUGACGGCUGGAGACAGGACCUCAUGUCAGACAGAUGAGCGGCCUCUGCGGUGCUCUGCUUCAAAACAGAGACGAUGCCAAGAUAGACACCACUGGACACAACUUCUAAUACUUGAGUCAAUUCUGAACCAAAGAAUUGAUGAGGCAGGUGCCUCAACACACUGAAUUUACCAACCAAGCUCCGGUUUAAGAAUGAAGCAUCAAAACUGCUGAACGAUGAAACUUGAUAAUGCUGAACAGAAGAGAUUAUUGUGAUGGUGAAUAUAUCAGAGAAUCUGCUUCAGUUGUAUAAACGGAACAACCUCCAAUUUAAAAUGAGAUCCUCAAAUUGCCACCUCUUAGAAGAAAAAGAUAACCUUAAAAUCCUGGGCAUUAAUAACUGCCGAAGACUUGCUUCUAACAGCACAGUACAGCUGCACUGGUUCAUCCACUGGAUUCAUCUUCGAGAAUACUGGAUAAGAAUUCAGGUUGCUGAAUUCUGCUAGGAAUUCUUACAGAAAUGUAAGUGGGGCCUUAAACGACAGCACACUUAGCACCUGCUGAGUAGUUAGGCACAAUAUCGUGUAUGUUUCCCAGUGUCUUGCAGUUAACCUGCCUUCCGGAAAAAAAAAUUCACUGUAAAACCAUGUACAUUUUUCCUAAAUGUAUUACUAUUCAUUUUUUAUAUGCUCUUUAAUUGUGGAAACCAUUUUACAUCUAGUACAGUUCACUGAAACAUAAGAAAACCUGUUUGACAAAUACAGCCAAAAAUGUUUGCCUGUUACUCAUAUAUAAUACAGUUACCAUAAUCCAGAAAGACUAAGUGUCCAUUUUUAAUUUCCUUUUGAGGAGCUGGAAAUACAGAUUUGGAACUACUAGGUCCAUUAUUAUAGUCUUCUGUAUAAUGUUUUAAGGGACAGAAUAAAUAAAUUUGUUCUUCUGAGGUAACUGCCGAGGUCCCAGAAGCCCGCUAUAGCAACUCCUGAAACUACAGCAGUCUUUGAUUUUAAGAACAAUGUUAAUCAAUUGCAAACUUUCCUUCCCCCCAUCCCCGAAGUCAUUCAUAAAACCAGAUGUGACAGUCUGUCCGGAUUACUGGAACUACACUGACUAUUUCCUCCUGCCCAGAAGCAAAUGUGAUUGUGGUCAAGAUCUCAGCACUCACCCAACGUCAAGAACAAAAAAACCUUGAAGGCUUAAUAGAUUUUGGCAUUCGUUUGCUGUGCUAACACAUUACAAAUAAGGAUUUAAAUUUAAUCCAAGUCACAGCUCUCUUCUUUAUAGCAAGAGGCUGCUUAAGGUACAAAUAACUGUGGUGCACUGCAUUAUACAUGGAUAAAUUCAAGUAGGACCCUCAUUAAAUGGGGUCCAAUUCCUGUGCGCAAGCAACAAGUGCCUGGCAGUGCCAAUAAGAGAUGCAGUAAGUACAAAGAAGUGCUCCUUAAAACAGGGAUGGCCAACAUGCAUGCUGUGAACACUGCACUGGGAAGACUGAAAACAACUACUGUUGCCCCCAGAGCUACCUUCUGAAGCGGUAUCUUUUCCUUCCCUUUUGUGUUAAAAGAAGCCUCCACAAGUAAAGCAAAACUAAACAUUCAGUGACAGGCUGUGUCGGGUUCCUCACUCCCACCUAGGCUUGCAUCCACAAACAGUCCCUGAUUAGGCUGAAGGUCACUAACCCAAGAAGUUCAUUACCAACCCAGGCUGCAGGACAGAACCAGAGCUGUGGCAGUACUGUGCAGUAACUAUAGCAAGUCACAUAGAGAACAGAGUUUGCUUCUCAUGGAAGGGAAAGAAAAUGUUUUAAGAAAGGUUGCCUUCAGCUGCUUCUCACUGUAGCAGCUCCUGACAUUGUUAAGCUAGGAGAAGGACCUUCAAAGAGGCUUGCAAGAAAUAGGGCACAAGAAGAAAAUCCCCACGAUUGCCUCUCUUAUGACAGUGAGGACUUGAGGAAGGCUCCAGCACAGCACGAGCAAGGAGCACCUGGAUCUGAGGUCAGCAGAUGGCUGCGCUAUCCAAGAACCACGACUGGAUAUGGGCACUUCAACUGUUCCCCAAUUUCUACAAGUAACAUGCAGCUCCUACUCCCAACCAACAAAUUGUAGCAGAGCCCAGCGCAACACAAACAAACCCCACCUAUGUACAUUCCAAAGAGACAGUACAAACUUCCCAUACGAUGACCACGGCCUGCUGUCUUAACUUUUAUUACAUGUGACCAGGAAGAAGACCAGGAUACGAAAUUAAGCCUGCAGUAACAUCGUUUCUCCAUUCUUUUAUGAGACCUUGCUGUCCCAGUUAUAAUUCAGAUUCUCAAUUUUAUGUGCAUGUGAAAUAUUGAUGGGAUCAGUGGUGUUACCGUAACUGAGUCAGUGUAACAAGACAAAGAAGAAGAACACAUACUCAGAAGAAAACGCCAUUUAAAAUAAUAAAUAUGGUUUCAACCAGACCACAGACAGCAGUAGAAGCUCUAUUAAAUUCCAAAACACAAACCAGUUCUUUCAAUAUAAAGCAAAAAUUAUUUACUGAAUGGUUAAUUAUUUUUCAUUUUAAACUGCUAGUAAAAAUAAGCAUUGAAAGGAGUUUAGUGAGUUUUUUUAAAACCAUUUUCAGAUAAACAUGGAGUUAUUGUUUUCAUCAUGGAACAUCUGUAAUUUUCUAUAUCAUGUAAACAUAAGAACUUCAUCUUAAUAGCCUAAAAUUAUUUAUGGAAUAUAUACAAUAUGUACUUCUAAAAUAAAGAGUGUAUUUCAAUAUUCUUGCCAAACAAACACUACGUAAGGGUAUUUAUGGUAUCUUAUUUCUUUCAAAAACUAACACACAUACUGAAUAACUGUUAGAGAUGAAAAAAAUAUUAUUUGAGAGAAAUUCUUAUCACCAGGCUUGUCUCAGUUUGGCUUGAUUGAUUUCCCUGUAGUUAGAUGAAGCUCAAGUCUGGUGCCAGCAGUUGUUUUACUGCUCUGAAAUGCUUGCAGACAAAUACGUAUUAAUAUGAUACAGAACUAUUUGAGAUAAAACUAAGUUCAUGCGGAUGCUGUAUGGAGAAUUUACCCCUAACUAAAUGGAAUACAGAAGCUAGUAAUCUGUCCAGAAACUAUGACCACUUCCCCCCUUCCCCAAAUAAGCAGGUAUCUGUUGAAGUAAACACCUAAGGUGAAGCACUCCUGCUGCUAAGGAAAGUUAGUAUAAAUCUGUUUUACUUCACUCCAAUAUAAAUAUUUCUGUUGAUUUUUCAUAUGAAAUACUUAUCUGAUUUUGUCUAACCCUCAGAGCAGAAUAACGUUACACUUACUGCUCAAGAUGCUGGAGAAAAUAGUCCAAUCUCCAGGAUAUGAUAUUUUUCCAAGCUACAAGUCCAUCCAAGCUACAGGAUAUGAUAUUUUGCUUGGUGGAAGAUGUUUUCAAAGGUAAAAAGGUCAGCAGAUAGACCUGAGUCCCAGCUGUGCCUUAUGACUUGGGUAACUCCUCAAAUACAAUGUAUACUGUACAGAGGUUGUAUAGUUUAUUGGCCGUGAAUGCAAGAAAAUAUGCUUACCAUAAUGCAGUUACCAUUGCAACUAUCCAGUUUCAAUGGCUGUAAUGUCAACAUUAAAAUAAACAUACAUGCUUAAAUUCCUACUUGCGACAUUUUAAUCGCUAAGCAGAAAUAUCGCACCAGUGCAGUCUAACACCCAAAGAAUACAAACCCAAGUUAUCAGCACUUAAUGACAAGCAGGUCCACUCCCAUUUGUGAAGUGGUUUUCCUGCAUUAUGGUAAAAGUGAAUUAGAUAAUAGCUACUAUUAUUUAAUUAGAAUGUAUUAUUAUCUGCCUCAGAUAAUUCAUAGACUGACCAUUCUGCCCAUCUACAAAUUACAGUAUCAGCUAUUACCACAAUUGGUAGGCUGCGGUACCUGAAAUGUUAACAUAUUCCCAGUAAACUGUAGGAGAAGAAUGCUAUAAACCCUUACUGUAAAAUAAGUCAGUGCAAUUUGGGACUUCUCAGUACUGACUGUGCAGGUUCGAAAAUGCAAGUCAUUGAAAUGAUGUACAAGGAAUCCUCAGCCAGUAAACAGGAAUUUCUCGGUAAUAUAGAAACGUCAGGACAAUGGUAAAAACCAACAACAAAACAGAAACAAACAAACCACCCAAUACUUUAUUUCACUCAAAGAGCACAACAAAACAAUCUAUGUAUCAAAAUCCUUGUUUCUGGGGUGGAUAAUUAUGCCUGGAAAAAGAUCCUUCUGUUUCUGGCAAUUCCAACUCUGAGCACAGACAACCACUGCGUUAGUCCAUUUAACUUCAUUAUAUUUUAGCGGAGCUAUUUUUAGCCAUUACAAAACUAAUGGAAGAGCUGAGAGUCUACAUUCCACUCUAAUUGAGCCAUCAUGUUUAGCAGCCAACUAUUUUGUACAUUAUAAAUGCAGCAAUACAUAUCAGAGAUAAUACUAACAUCUGUUUUAUGAGGCAAAAGGCCAAGCGGCCAAAUACUCGAUCCCGGUAAAAGAACCAGAUUUUUUUGUUGCUUUCUAGGACUGUUUAACAGUGCUCUCACCAUAGCUUGUGAGUUCCUUAGUUGGGAGAUGAAUUUAAAGAUUUUAUUUAUUUAUUUAUUUUAAAACAGGAAAGGGAUGCAUGCUUGUAUUUAUACAAAGGAAUCACCUUUAUACUCUAGGAUUGAGAACUCUUUCACAGUAGUUUGGGCUGCUAUAUCUGAAGUUAGUCAGGAAAACGUUCACACUCUCCACUCCAAACAGUGGAAAAAGUUGUUCUUGUUUUAACCUCCAGCAGUAAAAGGAAGACCUCCUUAACCCCCUUCCUUAUCUUUACAGGUGGCCAGUGGGAAAAAGAAAAAAAAAAAACAAACACUUUUCAUCACUUCUCAGUAUCAGGGUCAUCUGGUUCAAGAAUCAAAUGGGAGUCAAAGAAACCAAUUCCCACGUGUGUUGCAGCUGCUGCCCUGACCAUGUCACUGAGCUACUCCCAUCAAGAAGAAACACUUCACAAAGAACAUUUUAAUAUUAGUGCCGGCUGCUAACCUGAGAAACAGAAGAUGAUACUGAACAAUACCCUACAGCAGAUCAGCACUCCUUGUCCUUCUGCAUGUAAGAAACUUAGAACUGAUUAUUUUUCUCACAGCUGACGAAUAUUGACUUUGACUCAGGCUAACUGGUACGAGCAAGGAAGUAGAGAACGAGAAUUAAAAAAUCUCAACGCUAAAGUAAAGUAUUUUGAAACUUAAACCAGACACCCUUUAACCAAGUUUCAUAUUUCCAGCUCUUCAGGAGAGGAGAAACUUAAGAAAAAAAUGCUAGCAACUUAAAAAAUAUGUCAUUAUAUAAUGAGUUAAGUUUCAAGAACAGAAUUUAAACUAUCUUCCUGAGGAUCUCUAAUUAUACAGAUAUGGUAAUUUGCAAACGAUAAUUUGUAACACAGUUAUUCUCAGCCUCAAACACCAGCUUCAGAUGAGCUUAUUUAUAAGCAAUAAACAAGCUCAAAUAUUGAAGAAAACACGCUUCCAUUAAAGGAGAUUGCAGAGUCCUAAAUGGGCAGCAGUUCAAGAAUGCUACACUAGUAGUCAGGCAUGUACGAUUUACAGUACUUUUACUUUUCUACUGCUGCCACUAAGUUUAGAACAUGCCCUACAAAAAGGCCUUGCUGAUUUUCAAGUGUUCUGUAGAUCCGCAGUACAUUUAUUUUGGUACUUUCAACACAAGCCUUUGAAACCUUGCCUUCAGCGUGACUCCAUCUCCUAUAACCUUUCGCUAGAAUCUCGUUCACUGUAUUCCUUCUCCCCAUGCCAUUAAGCCCACAUAGUUACUCAUGUUCUCCAAAGAGGCUGUCAGCAGGAGCCAUCGUCACAAACGAUGAUGUACUUUUGUCUUUUGUUUUUAAGAAAAACUGACACUUCUUUGUCAUUAUCUCCCUUAAAACGUUAGCCUACACAGUUUGAGAAGUAGGGAAGAAAUAAUCCUGGCAUGUCACAUGCAGAUCUAUCUGCAUGGAGAACAUUCUUCUAAAAUGCGUUCCAGUUAAUUGUUUUGUAAAGUCUUCCAUAUAAAUAAACAUUUGAAGCAGAAAAGCAAUGGACGGUUUUACACACUGUGCUUUUAAAAAAUGACAGGCCACACAGCUCAGAUUUCUCUUAAAUUCUCAAGACGUGUUUUGGAGGUUUUUGGAUUUAUGUUACUUAAAAAUCCAAGUGAGAAGAUAAUACGCAUAACAAUGAUGGAAGAGUAAUUUCAGUCACACCUCCAAUAAUAUGACAAACAGUUUGAGUCAUAAAUCUACCACAAUGGGGCUAUCGUUCUCCUACUGUGACAAAGAAAUAAGAAAGGUAGGCAGAAGAACAGAAACGUUUUUUUUCCAUUUAACUGUGAGCUGGCAGGAAGGUUCUUGCCCAGAGUACACAGAUAAGCCAGUUGGCAGCAGAAGUACUUUGGAGCACCUAGAAUCACCCAAACCCCUCCUUUUGUUUAUUUGGAAGAUAACACUCAUCCCUGCAGCACAAAUUAAAAAAUUAUGUCCAUAAUCCUAAUGGCACAGCUGGGUUAUGAUGAAAAAACACACCAAACUCUGUCAAUGUAUACAAAGAAAAGGAAAAAGAAUUGAUAAUUUUGAAAAAAAUUAAUUACAUUGUUACCUAUAAUUUGUUAUUUGUGCACCAUAUUUUCAGGCCUUUCCUUCCCUAAAUUUGGCUAAACCUCCAGUGUACAGCAUCAAAGUCCUCUAAUUAGAGCUUUAAUUGAUGCUGAUAUCAUCAUUAAGAGCUAUUCUGUUAUUGCAAACAUUCAUCUUAUCUUUUUCCCCUACUAAAUAUUCAAAUGGCUCAUUGUCAUUGAACUAUUCAAUAACUGAAAUAUACCAAUACCUCACACACUUCAUUUUCUUUAUGGACAGUAACAUUAUAUUAUUUGCACAGUAAGUUUUUUUCACUCUAAAUUUGAUUCUGUCUGUUUCAAUUGAAUACUUGCUUUUUUUUUUUUUUUCC